GGCAUCCCAAGGCAAAGUCAUCUGUCAAGGACAGAAUCGUCUCUAGCAAAUGACCAGAUAAAUGGAGGCAAAGCUGCCCAAACCAAUGGAUUCACACAGAAAAUCUAAACCAACUAGGAACAUGGAGUCAGUUUAGUGGCUUGUGAGGCUGCUAGCUUGACUUUCUUUAGCUCUAACCUAAUCAAGGCUGUUUGGAGAAGAGCCUUAGCACUCCCC
This is a long non-coding RNA of Gorilla gorilla gorilla (western lowland gorilla), 216 nucleotides long. RefSeq lists it as uncharacterized. The record is from RefSeq and is a predicted model, not a curated record. The transcript is spliced from 3 exons. NCBI's taxonomy places the organism in Eukaryota, Metazoa, Chordata, Mammalia, Primates, Hominidae.